AUUAGACCAUAAUAAUAGUAAGUAUGCUUAAUCAAAUUCAAAGAAACCUCAGAGAAAUUUCAAACAAACAAUAAGAAAUCUUAAAGAAAUAUUAGAAGGAUUACAAAUAUCACUCAAAUACAUCUCAAUUCAAUCUUAAUUUAAUUCUAGUUAAAAUCCUAGUGAACUUUAUUCAAACUUUAGGCCAAAACUAAUUUAAUCUUAAAUCCAAAUAAAAUCCUAAAUCCUAAAUCAAACCCUAAACAAACCUUAAAUCAAAUCCCAACCAAAUCCUAAUCAAAUCCUAAAUCAAAUCCUAAUUAAAUUCUAACCAAAUCCUAAUCCAAAUCCUAAAUCCUAAAUCAAAUCCUAACCAAACCUUA
RNAcentral lists this long non-coding RNA (362 nucleotides) under Physcomitrium patens. Its description in RNAcentral is "long non-coding RNA (PPAT_LNC005233)". Lineage: Eukaryota; Viridiplantae; Streptophyta; Bryopsida; Funariales; Funariaceae. The record is from RNAcentral.